Molecule: long non-coding RNA, 1292 nt
Organism: Humulus lupulus (European hop)
Lineage: Eukaryota; Viridiplantae; Streptophyta; Magnoliopsida; Rosales; Cannabaceae
Exons: 2
Source: RefSeq, a predicted model, not a curated record
AUGAAGGAAACCCUACAUAUUUUAAAAACUCUCUCAGUUUCUCUCUCCUCCCCAUCCGACCCUCUCUCUCGUUUGUUUCUACCAAGAACCCUGAUGACCACUCCAGCCACCACCUCUGUAGACGCGUGACACCAGGAGCAUCGCAAGCCGCUGAAUCCCCCAGCCCCAUGAGCUCAACAACACACGUGCCGUCCUCCAAGCAACUAGCCAAUUGAAGUUCCGCCGCCGUCGACACUUCCAGACGUCUUUUCGGCGAGUUCCAACCUUAUUUUGGCUGGUGAGUGGUACAACUGAACUCAGGGCUUCAUGGUGAACAAAACCCAACAAAGGUUUAUGUCGCGGGAUUUCACUUUGGGAGCUCAUCAGAAUCUCGGCAAUUCUGAGAUGUUUUGGCUUCAAUUCGACCACCAUGUGUCUUUCCAAGAGAACCACCGCCACCACGGUGCUCCCCGAGACUUGGGCUUCGAAGCCCAAUAGUCGUCGGAGCCCCGCCGUGAGUCUUGGGCAGCCACCAUUUUUGGUACCCCGGAGUUCAUUUUGAGCUCCAAAGCUCACCAUCGAGCUCGUAUCGCUCUCCCGAGCGUUGGUAGGUUCGUGUGAUGAAUCAUGAGAAAAAUGCAAAAUGAAGUUAAAUGGUGGAAAAAUGAGGCUUUUGGUGGUUAUUGGACUAAAAAAGAUACCAAGGAUGCUUAAAGGAUCGUUUUUGAGGAAGAGAGAUGAGCUGAAGGAUUAAAUCCGAGAAAAAUUGAAUUAAAGUCGCGACUUGGACUUUAGAGUCACGACUUGAGGUGACGUCAGAGACGUAUAUGUUGCUGGAUAGAAUUAGUGUCGCGACUUGGGCUUACAAGUCGCGACUCAAGAGGAGAUAGAGGCCUAGCUAAGGGAAAACGCAGACACGGGCCGCGACUUGAGAAGCUGAAGCCGCGGCGUCUAAAGGCAUUAUACUAAAGGAAAAGGGCCCAAAAUAGACACGACUGCGACUCAAAAAAGGCCAAGUCGCGGCCCGCACAAGGAAAAACUCAUAAGCUUUUAAUUUUUGUACUAUAAAUUCGUGUUUAGGGAUUAAUUAAGUCAUUAGGUCAGUUUUUAAUUACGUUUUUUAGAGUCUAAUUGUAGUUCUUAGGUUAAAUAUUCUGCAGUUUCAUAUUUUUAUUUCUUCUUCAAGUUUAUGGAUAAUUAUUUUGUUGAUUUAGUCAUGUCUGAUAUGAACUAAAUACUUUUUAUCUAGUGUUUAAUGUAGUCACUUGGAUUUCAAUCUAAUUGAAUUAUGAUAUUCUUUUGAUUUUUCUCUA